GACGAACGCUGGCGGCGUGCUUAACACAUGCAAGUCGAACGGAAAGGCCCUGCUUUUGUGGGUUGCUCGAGUGGCGAACGGGUGAGUAACACGUGAGUAACCUGCCCUUGACUUUGGGAUAACUUCAGGAAACUGGGGCUAAUACCGGAUAGGAGCUCCUGCUGCAUGGUGGGGGUUGGAAAGUUUCGGCGGUUGGGGAUGGACUCGCGGCUUAUCAGCUUGUUGGUGGGGUAGUGGCUUACCAAGGCUUUGACGGGUAGCCGGCCUGAGAGGGUGAACGGCCACAUGGGGACUGAGAUACGGACCAGACUCCUACGGGAGGCAGCAGUGGGGAGUAUUGCACAAUGGGCGGAAGCCUGAGGCAGCAACGCCGCGUGCGGGAUGACGGCCUUCGGGUUGUAAACCGCUUUCGCCUGUGACGAAGCGUGAGUGACGGUAAUGGGUAAAGAAGCACCGGCUAACUACGUG
Molecule: ribosomal RNA, 468 nt
Filed under: uncultured bacterium
Lineage: Bacteria
Description: partial 16S ribosomal RNA
Rfam family: Bacterial small subunit ribosomal RNA
Source: RNAcentral